Acanthosepion pharaonis is the source of this 112-nucleotide non-coding RNA. Lineage: Eukaryota; Metazoa; Mollusca; Cephalopoda; Sepiida; Sepiidae. The record is from the annotation of a GenBank genome assembly.
UUGCAGUCUUAUCACAUUGAAUCACCAGUUCCCAUAAAAUCAGCAAAGUUAAGCAACAUUGAGCCUGGUCAGUAACUAGAUGGGUGACUGCUUGGGAAUACCAGGUGCUAUA